RNAcentral lists this ribosomal RNA (1358 nucleotides) under metagenome. RNAcentral describes it as "bacterial LSU rRNA". It matches the Rfam family "Bacterial large subunit ribosomal RNA", at positions 1587 to 2925 of the family's 2925-position model. The record is from RNAcentral.
AAAGUCACUGAUCCUAUGCUGCCAAGAAAAGCCUAGCAGCGAGUUGGCACGGUGCCCGUACCCCAAACCAACACAGGUGGAUAGGUAGAGAAUACCAAGGCGAUUGGGAGAACUGUGGUUAAGGAACUCGGCAAAAUGCAUGCGUAACUUCGGGAUAAGCAUGACCUCGUUAGGGUGAAGGGACUUGCUCCCGGAGCUCGAAGAGGUGGCACAGAAUUGGGGGAAGCGACUGUUUACUAAAAACACAGCAGCGUGCGAAGCCGAAAGGCGCUGUAUACGCUGUGACGCCUGCCCAAUGCUGGAAGGUCACGGGGAAGGGUUAGCCCUAGGGCGAAGCUCUGAACCUAAGCCCCAGUGAAUGGCGGCCGUAACUAUAACGGUCCUAAGGUAGCGAAAUUCCUUGUCGGGUAAGUUCCGACCUGCACGAAUGGCGUAACGACUUCCCUACCGUCUCAACCACAGACCCAGCGAAAUUGAAGUACGAGUAAAGAUGCUCGUUAGCUGUAGAAGGACGGAAAGACCCCGUGGACCUUUACUAUAGCUUGAUAUUGAGUCUUGUCAUGCGUUGUGUAGGAUAGGUGGGAGGCUAGGAAGCAUGCACGCCAGUGUGUGUGGAGCCACCCUUGAAAUACCACCCUGCGUAUGGCGGGACUCUCACCCUGACCCGUUAUCCGGGCCGGGGACAGUGUCAGGUGGGUAGUUUGACUGGGGCGGUCGCCUCCUAAAGAGUAACGGAGGCGCCCAAAGGUUCCCUCAGACUGGUUGGCAAUCAGUCGUCGAGCGCAAUGGCAUAAGGGAGCUUGACUGCGAGACGUACAGGUCGAGCAGGUGCGAAAGCAGGGCAUAGUGAUCCGGCGGUUGCGUGUGGAAGCGCCGUCGCUCAACGGAUAAAAGGUACCCCGGGGAUAACAGGCUAAUCUUCCCCAAGAGUCCAUAUCGACGGGAAGGUUUGGCACCUCGAUGUCGGCUCAUCGCAUCCUGGGGCUGAAGCAGGUCCCAAGGGUUGGGCUGUUCGCCCAUUAAAGCGGUACGCGAGCUGGGUUUGGAACGUCGUGAGACAGUUCGGUCCCUAUCCUCUACAGCCGGAAGUGACUUGAGAAAAGCUGUCCCUAGUACGAGAGGACCGAGAUGGACGCAGCUCUCGUGUGCCAGUUGUCCUGCCAAGGGCAUGGCUGGUUAGCGACCUGCGGGCGAGAUAACCGCUGAAAGCAUCUAAGCGGGAAGCUCCUUUCAAGAUGAGGUCACUCACAGGGUCAACCUGGUAAGGCCCGUGGUAGACCACCACGUUGAUAGGCCGGAAGUGUAAGCGCGGUAACGCGUUCAGCUGACCGGUACUAAUCGGCCGAGGGCUUGGCCAG